RNAcentral lists this non-coding RNA (35 nucleotides) under Alexandrium minutum. Lineage: Eukaryota; Dinophyceae; Gonyaulacales; Pyrocystaceae. The record is from RNAcentral.
UUUUUUUUUUUUUUUUUUUUUUUUUUUUUCAUCUA